Non-coding RNA from Salmo salar (Atlantic salmon), 45 nucleotides. The record is from Rfam. Lineage: Eukaryota; Metazoa; Chordata; Actinopteri; Salmoniformes; Salmonidae.
CAAACGGCUCUAUUAAGAGCCUUUCCAACUCUAUUAAAAUAUAUG